ACUGGGGGAGGUCACUCGAUACUGCUCGGCUUGAGGAUGAGAGAGGAGAGCGGAAUUCCCGGUGUAGCGGUGGAAUGCGUAGAGAUCGGGAGGAACACCAGCGGCGAAAGCGGCUCUCUGGCUCAUAUCUGACGCUGAGUGCACGACAGCGUGGGGAGCAAACGGGAUUAGAUACCCCGGUAGUCCACGCUAUAAACGAUGAGGGCUGGGUGUUGGUUCCAUUUGGAAUCAGUGCCGAAGCAAACGCGUUAAGCCCUCCGCCUGGGGACUACGAUCGCAAGAUUAAAACUCAAAGGAAUAGACGGGGGCCCGCACAGGCAGCGGAGCGUGUGGUUCAAUUCGAUGCAACACGAAGAACCUUACCAGGGCUUGACAUGUAAGUGGUAGGGAAGGGAAACCGGACCGACCC
RNAcentral lists this ribosomal RNA (409 nucleotides) under uncultured bacterium. RNAcentral describes it as "bacterial SSU rRNA". It matches the Rfam family "Bacterial small subunit ribosomal RNA", at positions 612 to 1018 of the family's 1533-position model. The record is from RNAcentral.